UAGGGAAUCUUCCACAAUGGGCGCAAGUCUGAUGGAGCAACGCCGCGUGAGUGAAGAAGAUCUUCGGAUCGUAAAACUCUGUUGUUAGAGAAGAACACGAGUGAGAGUAACUGUUCAUUCGAUGACGGUAUCUAACCAGCAAGUCACGGCUAACUACGUGCCAG
This 164-nucleotide ribosomal RNA is filed under the name uncultured bacterium. RNAcentral's name for it is "partial 16S rRNA". It matches the Rfam family "Bacterial small subunit ribosomal RNA", at positions 355 to 511 of the family's 1533-position model. The record is from RNAcentral.